RNAcentral lists this ribosomal RNA (445 nucleotides) under uncultured bacterium. Its description in RNAcentral is "partial 16S ribosomal RNA". It matches the Rfam family "Bacterial small subunit ribosomal RNA", at positions 354 to 796 of the family's 1533-position model. The record is from RNAcentral.
GUGAGGAAUAUUGGUCAAUGGGCGCAAGCCUGAACCAGCCAUGUCGCGUGCAGGAAGACGGUCCUAUGGAUUGUAAACUGCUUUUAUUUGGGAAUAAACUCCGGUACGUGUACCGGCCUGAAGGUACCAAAUGAAUAAGCACCGGCUAACUCCGUGCCAGCAGCCGCGGUAAUACGGAGGGUGCAAGCGUUAUCCGGAAUCAUUGGGUUUAAAGGGUCCGCAGGCGGUCUUAUAAGUCAGUGGUGAAAGCCUACAGCUCAACUGUAGAACUGCCAUUGAUACUGUAGGACUUGAAUUCGAUCGAAGUGGGCGGAAUGUGACAUGUAGCGGUGAAAUGCUUAGAUAUGUCACAGAACACCGAUAGCGAAGGCAGCUCACUAGGUCUGGAUUGACGCUCAGGGACGAAAGCGUGGGGAGCAAACAGGAUUAGAAACCCCGGUAGUCC